UACGAAGGGGGGCUAGCGUUGCUCGGAAUCACUGGGCGUAAAGGGUGCGUAGGCGGCGCGGUAAGUCGGGUGUGAAAUCUCGGAGCUUAACUCCGAAACUGCAUUCGAUACUGCCGUGCUUGAGGACUGGAGAGGAGACUGGAAUUUACGGUGUAGCGGUGAAAUGCGUAGAUAUCGUAAGGAAGACCAGUGGCGAAGGCGGGUCUCUGGACAGUUCCUGACGCUGAGGCACGAAGGCCAGGGGAGCAAACGGG
Molecule: ribosomal RNA, 254 nt
Filed under: uncultured bacterium
Lineage: Bacteria
Description: partial 16S ribosomal RNA
Rfam family: Bacterial small subunit ribosomal RNA
Source: RNAcentral